AUGCAUCCGAAGCCGAGACUCAUAUUACUUGAUGGCAUUGAAAUCAAGCAACAACUAUCAGGCAAAGAACAGCUUAGCCAUGAGAUGUGUGCUGCUAUCUUUAGGAGACUGUCACAGAUGGACAAGAGCUUCACGAAGGACACAUUGACCAUGUUUUGGAGGAAGUUUCUAGAGCCCGACUUCGCUACUGCGGUUUUGUCAAAUGCGGAUCCAUUGACGAUCCAGUCAAUCCGUGCAACAUUUACCGAAGAAAACGAGAUUUUCAGCCCAGCCUCUAGCCGGAUGUGGCAUAUCCCUGCAUUGCUGCCCGACGGCUGGUCCGUCUACUCAUUUGACAUGCUCAGAAGAAGGAUUGCAGUACUUGACCCGGCAGUUGGACCAUUUGGGUUUAGCAACCGAAGGAUCAACAUGCACACAUACGUAUCUGACUUGCUACACGCUGCCCUCUUCAGAUGCAUCCAAUCCCUGUAUGAUUCCUGGCAUUGCAGUUCCGGAGAAUGGACCCGGGCAUUUCCUGUUAUCAUGGUAGAGAACAUUGAUAAGGAGGACUACGGUGUGUGCUCUUCGUUCUUCGCCAGGAAUUAUGAUGGCGACAAACUGNNNNNNNNNNNNNNNNNNGCAAACCUGGAGAUACAUAGGAACCUGAUGUUGUACGAGGUUAUGCGCCUUUAG
Molecule: ribosomal RNA, 672 nt
Filed under: Triticum aestivum (bread wheat)
Lineage: Eukaryota; Viridiplantae; Streptophyta; Magnoliopsida; Poales; Poaceae
Description: partial small subunit ribosomal RNA
Source: RNAcentral